AACGAACGCUGGCGGCGUGCCUAACACAUGCAAGUCGAGCGAGAAAGUCCCGGCAACGGGAUGAGUACAGCGGCGAACGGGUGAGUAACGCGUGGGUGAUCUACCCUCCAGCUCGGGAUAACCUGCCGAAAGGUGGGCUAAUACCGGAUGAUGUUCCCGUGGGGAUCCUGCGGGAAGCAAAGGGGGCGAGCGUAAGCAGCUCUCACUGGAGGAGGAGCCUGCGUCCGAUUAGCUAGUUGGUGGGGUAAUGGCCUACCAAGGCGACGAUCGGUAGCCGGCCUGAGAGGGCGACCGGCCACACUGGAACUGAGACACGGUCCAGACUCCUACGGGAGGCAGCAGUGGGGAAUCUUGCGCAAUGGGCGAAAGCCUGACGCAGCGACGCCGCGUGGGCGAUGAAGGCCUUCGGGUCGUAAAGCCCUGUCGGGUGGGACGAAUCUCCUGGUGGCGAAUAACCACCGGGCUUGACGGUACCACCGAAGGAAGCCCCGGCUAACUACGUGCCAGCAGCCGCCGUAA
This 519-nucleotide ribosomal RNA is filed under the name uncultured bacterium. RNAcentral's name for it is "partial 16S ribosomal RNA". It matches the Rfam family "Bacterial small subunit ribosomal RNA", at positions 28 to 523 of the family's 1533-position model. The record is from RNAcentral.